UUUAAUAAUUCAUCUCAUAUCAUGGGCCUACAUACUGCCAGUGGUAUAAUAGCCACAUCACUGUCAUUUCAUCAGUAAUCAUUUUUGUUUUUUGAAGAUGUUAAUAAUGUAAAUUUUUAUAUUUUCUUUCAAUAAAGAGAAAAAUUAACAAUAGGCCUAUAUCUUUUGAUAAUAACAUUUGAGGCUAUGGUUAGCGUAAUGAAUAAUAGAAAUAUAAAAAUAGAUAUAGGCUAAUUUAGUUGUGUGCAUAGGCCUAACUCUAAAUAAUAUGGUAUUUCUUUCAGGUUUUCAAUCCAUUGACAGAAAGCCAUGUUUGUUGCAAUAUAUUGUUUGUGGUAGACACUGGGAAAAAACCGACUAUUGAAUGUGUAUUUAUUUUGCCUCUUGGUACAAAACUGAUGGAAGAGCAGCCAUGAUGAAGCAGUAAAGGUUCUUGGAUACCUUGCUUCAAUACCUCUGGUCGGACAAGAAAAGACUUGGCUAAGGAGUAGAGCUUCAAAUAAUUUAUCACCAAGAAAGUUACUGAUUUAAACCGAAACCUGUAAUGCGAAAGAUUCUUAAUUAAGCUAAGUGGACGUGCAAUAGUAGCUGUUGUUAUAUUACAAAAACUAUGAUUUAAACAUGCCUGUAUAGUACAAUGCAUAAUAUUUUAUGUUUUUUGCAAGUUUCAAUAAAAGAAAAAUGGUCAAGUA
Long non-coding RNA from Anneissia japonica, 692 nucleotides. RefSeq lists it as uncharacterized. The record is from RefSeq and is a predicted model, not a curated record. Lineage: Eukaryota; Metazoa; Echinodermata; Crinoidea; Comatulida; Comatulidae. The transcript has 2 exons.